This 484-nucleotide ribosomal RNA is filed under the name uncultured bacterium. RNAcentral's name for it is "partial 16S ribosomal RNA". It matches the Rfam family "Bacterial small subunit ribosomal RNA", at positions 30 to 507 of the family's 1533-position model. The record is from RNAcentral.
AUUGAACGCUGGCGGCAGGCCUAACACAUGCAAGUCGAGCGGAUGAAGGGAGCUUGCUCCUGGAUUCAGCGGCGGACGGGUGAGUAAUGCCUAGGAAUCUGCCUGGUAGUGGGGGAUAACGUCCGGAAACGGGCGCUAAUACCGCAUACGUCCUGAGGGAGAAAGUGGGGGAUCUUCGGACCUCACGCUAUCAGAUGAGCCUAGGUCGGAUUAGCUAGUUGGUGGGGUAAAGGCCUACCAAGGCGACGAUCCGUAACUGGUCUAAGAGGAUGAUCAGUCACACUGGAACUGAGACACGGUCCAGACUCCGACGGGAGGCAGCAGUGGGGAAUAUUGGACGAUGGGCGAAAGCCUGAUCCAGCCAUGCCGCGUGUGUGAAGAAGGUCUUCGGAUUGUAGAGCACUUUAAGUUGGGAGGAAGGGCAGUAAGUUAAUACCUUGCUGUUUUGACGUUACCAACAGAAUAAGCACCGGCUAACUUCGUG